CCCUUAGAUGUUCUGGGCUGCACGCGCGCUACACUGAUGCGCUCAACGAGUUUACGACCUUGCCCGGAAGGGUUGGGUAAUCUUUUUAAAACGCAUCGUGAUAGGGAUAGAUUAUUGAAAUUAUUAAUCUUGAACGAGGAAUUCCUAGUAAACGCAGAUCAUCAAUCUGCAUUGAUUACGUCCCUGCCCUUUGUACACACCGCCCGUCGCACCUACCGAUUGGAUGGUCCGGUGAAGCCUCGGGAUUGUGGUUCUUGCCGCUUUAUUGUGGCGUGACCGCGAGAACUUGUCUAAACCUUAUCAUCUAGAGGAAGGUGAAGUCGUAACA
RNAcentral lists this ribosomal RNA (328 nucleotides) under uncultured eukaryote. Its description in RNAcentral is "partial 18S ribosomal RNA". It matches the Rfam family "Eukaryotic small subunit ribosomal RNA", at positions 1470 to 1796 of the family's 1831-position model. The record is from RNAcentral.